CUGGAGAAAAUUUGUUGGGACUUUGCAGGAGGGACUCAAUGGCAGUGAACCAGAUGAGGAGGAUGUCAAUUCAGGAUGGGCUCCAAGGUGGCACUGAGGAAGGAGAAAUCUAGCUAAUGAUUGAGCUGCUUCACAUGGUUAAUCUAGGGGUUCCUCAUUUUAUGUCACCACUUGGUCUCAGUCUCACAAGCCUUUUUAUAGCAUACUGAGUGCUACAAAGCUCACCUAGGGAUGUGUGUCCACGGUUUCUUGUUCAUUGAGGAGGGAUCUCAUGCAGCAUCCCCUCUUUCAUUUAUGGAGGAGUUAUAUCCCUGUAUGCAGGUAAAAGCCAGGGUAAGGUCUGUGCAGUGGUCCCACUUGAGGCUAUUAAACCUCUGCUCACAUUGUGGACAUUGUCAGACCAUGGUAUUUUGUAAGCUGUACAAUGCAGUUGAUAAUACUAAUUACAACUCUCCCUGGGCCUAGAGGAACUGAUAGUAAGAUAUUGGAUAUAGAACUGAACUUUUCUGCUCACUGGAAAGGAGUGGAAAAAGCUGAAUAUUGCUCUCAGAUAGCUCAUACAAUCAGGAUGUGCAUCAGGGCUGGAGGAGCUCACAGGAGAGGUCUGAGAAUAUGAACUGAACUCUACUGGAACCUUGUCCCAAGCGAUGCUUUCAUAUGGGAGAAAAGCUCAGGAGAAACCUUUACACAGUGAUCCAGAUCAAAGAGACCUACUUUGGUGGUAUGUCUGGUUUGUAAAGAGCAAGGCCUCUCUCCUGGACACAGCUUCUAAAGUUGCCUUUAGAUCUGUGAAAUGAAAGUCAGCUCAUUGAUCAAAUCCCUUUAGAUCCCAGUGGUUUCAGAGUCAUCCCUGUGACCCUGAGCAUGUAUUGCUGCACAGGGGAGCCCCUCCUGCAGAGGAACAGAAGUGCAUCCGUGCAUCCACCCCACUUGUGUAAUAAAUGUCACAACCAGAGCUCCAGUUUGAAAUGUUCCUUUCUUGAGCUGGCUGAGCCUCAUACAAUCUUACACUGAACUUUAACACCUGUUCUACUAAUGGUGGGCACAGCACCCAAAGUUUGAGGCCUUGUGGUUACCCUGAAACAACUGGUGAUGUUUCAUGCACCAUCUUUCACUCGGGCAUUGAUAGUAGAGUUUCAGUUUAAUAGGAAACGAGAGAACUGUGUGAAGAAAGCACUCUGUAAAACAAAGAAACAAAAAAUAGGAGGGGGAUGCGAGGAGCUUUUGAAAGCUAGAGAGCAGCAGCGUUCCAGCAAAAACAAGCUGGACGGAGGAAUAUUAAAGAGGGCAGUGUUAAAUGGAGACCUAGCAGGAUCACAGAACAAGUGAGCAUCCAAGAUUAAGAGCGCACUAAGAAUUAAUGAGCCAGCAGUGCUUCUUCAGAUUGCAGUAAUAACACCCAAAGCCCACAUGGAUUGCCUCCUGUGCUCUCCUGCUCACUGCACCUCAUCUCCCACUGAUGUAAAAUCGUUUUGCAAAUCUGCAUUAAAAUCAUGAGAGAGCACUUCAUGGGCAAUGCACUGGGUCAUUCCUUCAGUGAAGCUGCGGAAGGCAAAUUUCGCAGUCCUGAAGUUUGAGGCUUCCUAGAUAAGAAGUUGAUUCAAUUCAACCCAGGCAAAAAUCUAGGGAAAUGGACAGUGUCAGAUGAGAUGGAUAUCUGACACAUUUAAAUCCUCCCAUCCUGUGACUCUUUGAUCGCUAUAACUGUUUGCAAAGGAAAAAGAAAGGCCUGAAGUCAUUCCAAUCUUCAGUGACAUUUUAUUUUCUAUAGGGGAUUGGAUCUAGAAACUACAGAGCUGCUGGACUGGAAAAAAAAAAGGCUUGCAGCUGCACUCAUCACCCGGGGUGUUUAUGAUUAGAUCUGCUUUAUAUCAGCCAAAAAGUUAAAAUGAAUUUUAAAAUAAAUAUUUGUCAUCAAAACAUUUUGUGGCACAUCAUAAUCCUGAACUCGCAAACACAGUCAGCUUGAAGGAAGCCCAGAAAACCCAGAAAUGUCUCUCCAGUGGAAGUGACAGCAGAUUUGUUCACAUGGGCGUAACUGAUGUAUGGGUUCCUAUGAUGCCUCAGUUACUGGUAAAGCGUGUACAAAUGGAUUGCAUUCCGUGUGUGUGUGCGUCCAAUAGGAAAACUCUUCUGCAUUAGACUUUAAAAAGAAGUUCCCAAGCUUUUAAAAUCAUUUUGCUGUAUCUUCUGCCUAUCUUCUCAGCUCUGAGAAGUUCUGACCGUUCCAGGAUGUGAAGAAUCUCUCUCAAAGUAUAUGCAGCAGUGCUUCAGCACAGGCGUAGCAGAAAGGAUCAAAAUGAGAUGUGAAGGUUAAAGAUGUACCUGAAGCAAAGAUAUGAAUACAUUUAUUCUAGGCUUUAUCUCAGUAAAAUAGGGGAUGUUUUUGUACAUCUAUAAUCAAGGGUGCUCAUUCUCGUUUUUUAUGUCUGGCAUAAAUUUCCAGUGACUUGAACAGGAAAACUGUCAGAAUCCUAUUGCAUAGU
Gallus gallus (chicken) is the source of this 2486-nucleotide long non-coding RNA. The record is from Ensembl. NCBI's taxonomy places the organism in Eukaryota, Metazoa, Chordata, Aves, Galliformes, Phasianidae.